GGACUGGUAGCUCAGUGGUCAGAGCGAGCGGUUCCGGAUCGCUAGGGCGUGGGUUCGAAUCCCACUCAGUCUA
RNAcentral lists this transfer RNA (73 nucleotides) under Aspergillus terreus NIH2624. RNAcentral's name for it is "tRNA-Arg (CCG) (tRNA-Arg-CCG-2-1)". It matches the Rfam family "tRNA". Rfam says of the family: Transfer RNA (tRNA) molecules are approximately 80 nucleotides in length. Their secondary structure includes four short double-helical elements and three loops (D, anti-codon, and T loops). The record is from RNAcentral. Lineage: Eukaryota; Fungi; Ascomycota; Eurotiomycetes; Eurotiales; Aspergillaceae.